RNAcentral lists this ribosomal RNA (510 nucleotides) under uncultured bacterium. RNAcentral describes it as "partial 16S ribosomal RNA". It matches the Rfam family "Bacterial small subunit ribosomal RNA", at positions 28 to 507 of the family's 1533-position model. The record is from RNAcentral.
GACGAACGCUGGCGGCGUGCUUAACACAUGCAAGUCGAACGAAGAGCGAUGGAAGCUUGCUUCUAUCAAUCUUAGUGGCGAACGGGUGAGUAACGCGUAAUCAACCUGCCCUUCAGAGGGGGACAACAGUUGGAAACGACUGCUAAUACCGCAUACGAUCUAACCUCGGCAUCGAGGAUAGAUGAAAGGUGGCCUCUACAUGUAAGCUAUCACUGAAGGAGGGGAUUGCGUCUGAUUAGCUAGUUGGAGGGGUAACGGCCCACCAAGGCGAUGAUCAGUAGCCGGUCUGAGAGGAUGAACGGCCACAUUGGGACUGAGACACGGCCCAGACUCCUACGGGAGGCAGCAGUGGGGAAUCUUCCGCAAUGGACGAAAGUCUGACGGAGCAACGCCGCGUGAGUGAUGACGGCCUUCGGGUUGUAAAGCUCUGUUAAUCGGGUCGAAAGGCCUUCUUGCGAAUAGUUAGAAGGAUUGACGGUACCGGAAUAGAAAGCCACGGCUAACUACGUG